This 426-nucleotide ribosomal RNA is filed under the name Hylarana nigrovittata (black-striped frog). RNAcentral's name for it is "Sylvirana nigrovittata (black-striped frog) partial 12S ribosomal RNA". It matches the Rfam family "Bacterial small subunit ribosomal RNA", at positions 872 to 1500 of the family's 1533-position model. The record is from RNAcentral. Lineage: Eukaryota; Metazoa; Chordata; Amphibia; Anura; Ranidae.
CCAAAUAACUACGAGCAAUGCUUAAAACCCAAAGGAUUUGACGGUGUCCCACCCACCUAGAGGAGCCUGUUCUUUAAUCGAUAAUCCCCGCUAUACCUAACCACUCCUAGCCUUUCAGUCUGUAUACCUCCGUCGAAAGCCUACCAUGUGAACGUUUUAGUAAGCUAAAUGACCCCAUCAAUACGUCAGGUCAAGGUGCAGCUCACGGAGUGGGAAGUAAUGGGCUACAAUUUCUAAUAUAGAACAAACGAAAUACUGCAUGAAACUGCAGUCAUGAAGGCGGAUUUAGAAGUAAAAAGAAAAUAGAGAGUUCUUUUUAAUCCGGCUCUGGGACGCGUACACACCGCCCGUCACCCUCUUCAAUAAUAAUUUUUAAGUUCUUAACCAUUUAUUCUCUACUAGAAGAGGCAAGUGUAACAAGGUAAG